CGAACUCAGAGGUGAGCCGAGUGUCUAU
Molecule: small RNA, 28 nt
Filed under: Bombyx mori (domestic silkworm)
Lineage: Eukaryota; Metazoa; Arthropoda; Insecta; Lepidoptera; Bombycidae
Description: ovarian small RNA-14119
Source: RNAcentral